Linepithema humile (Argentine ant) is the source of this 1134-nucleotide non-coding RNA. The record is from RefSeq and is a predicted model, not a curated record. NCBI's taxonomy places the organism in Eukaryota, Metazoa, Arthropoda, Insecta, Hymenoptera, Formicidae.
CUGUUAAAUAAGAGUAAGCCCGGGCGCGUCCCCACCACUUGGGGCCCAAAAAGGAUAAGAACACACUCGCACCUGAACACGGCCUCAGAUCGCUCAGUUCGCGGUUCGCUUCAACAUUCGUCCGAGUGCGCUCCUAACUUUUCUCUCAUAUUCAAUCUUCUCCAAUUUUUGAUCUCGGCCAGAUCGCGCAUCUUCGAACAUUAUUCAGAGCACAGAUCGAUUAUAGUGUUGUGUAGUGGGCAAGAACAAGCUACAAAAGAACUAUCUCUUCUUUUCUCUCUCAUUCCGGAAUACGGCGUCAACGCGAUCAAAGGAUAUAGAGGUAACAAACGGAAGAGUGAUCUAUCGUGUGUGUGAUAGACGUCGAUCGGCCCGGCCACAGCGGCUCCUCUCUGUACGAUCUAACAUCUCGCGCGGCCGAUUUAUUUCCUGCGUGUGACGCACCUCGAUCGAGCGCGCCGUCCGCCGGCGCGGCGCGUCACGUGCCGAAGAAUAUACGAGGAUCGAGGAGGAAGAAUAGAAGAAGACGACGACGACGACAACGAAGAGAAGGGGCAUUGUGUGAAGAAUCGAAAGACGGCGUCACGGCGGAUUGACACAGGCGAUGAUCGUUGGCGCGGCGUCGAUUCGCAUCUCCGGAUCUGCAUGCCACACGGACCGCGCGAGUGACGAAAGCCGGGAAAGAGGAAGCGAGAGGCAGGUCGUAUAAUUCAACACAGCUCGUUCUGGGUAAGAUUGUGACGCUCCCGGAGAAAUAAGCACGUGAUCGGACUAUGAGAAUCGCAGCCGAGUCUUCGAUUGAGUUUCAACCCUGGCUUUGACUCACACGAUUCUGGAUCGCAAAUUGCAGCAGAACGAUCAUCAUCGAAUUGACAAAUACAUAUCGUCGUUCGGGCAAUUCAUUAACGCGGGAAAAACUGUUACACAUUUUGCAUAAUAGAUAGGUCAGGAUUCGUGACAAUAUUUAGCAUUUAUCUUAAUAUUGCACUAGUCCCGGCCUAUCGGGAUGCAUCGUGUCUCAUCGAGCAAAACAAAGGAUGUGAUGACAAAUAAGAGAAAAUCAAGAGAAAAAGAGAUAGUUGUUCGAAUUACCAAGCAAUUGUCCGAGAGAUGGAGAUUUUCGAGGAUUGGGCA